AUUUGUAAGAUAGACAGUUACAGUCUUAUUACAUACAAAAUAUUUUAUUUUUUGAUACAUUUAAUUUAAUAUAUACUGCCGGUAUGAAAAUCUACAGUUCGCAUUACAUAUACUUUAGAUUUCAUACCAACAGCUCGACGCCAAAUGUUUCGCUUUUCGCAAUUAACCUGACCCCCCUCAAGCCCCAAAAAGACAGAGAGCGCAACAUUUUUAGAAAAUAGAAAGACGCUUGCAAACUGCACACACCACGUUAUUUCUCUUAGUGGGCCCGUCCCCCACCUCUCCCACCUCAUCACUACUCUCAUCUUCCUCUCUCUCUCUCUCUCUCUUUCUCUUUUAUUAUCUCCAUUACACGUGAUACAUAAUGCCUUUGAAACAGAUAUUACUCUACUAUAUUAUGUUAUUGACGUAACAAUAUUACGUUGUUAAUAUUAAUAUUGUAAAUUUGAUCAAUAACUUAUUAUUAUAAUAUUUUAAUAAUGUAUAGUAUAUAAGUUUUGAAUUUAAUUGAAAUUUCUUUGCAGAUUCACUGGAAAAGGGUCAUACUUUUUGAUGCUCACGAAAUGAAAAAACACAAACCAAAUGUGUCAAGCAGCUUGUGCGCUCUCAGCCCGCAAACGUUGGGCUGUUACCAACAAACCUAUAGAAAGCGCAGAAGAAAAUUUAUAUGCUAUAUGGACUUUUCUAAAAUACGCGCCAUUCAAUGAUUAUUGCACUUGAAAAUACUGGAUACACAAUGACGCUGUGGGUCAUCAAAGAUUAAUGUUGUUGAUGAAGACGAUUAUGUUGAGACGAAUUAAACAAGUUUUAGUAACAGAAGGCCACAUACAUUUGCCUAAAUUGUCACGGAGAAUGAGAUUAAACUUGACCACAAAGAAGAAUUGAUAUAUAAUGUUGGAAAAAGGGAAAAAUAAAGCCAAUUUCAAAUCGAGCGCCGGAGCACUCGGAUGCUCCAGAUAAUCGCGCGGGCGCAGGCCACUGAAAUCGGAGCAAGGGAGCGCGGAGCUUGCCGGCAAAAGGAGAGGCUCGCCCUCUCUCUCGGAACAUCGGACCGGCAGGACAUGCGACCGUGACGAUCAAUUUUCUGCGUGUUUCGGACUCAGCCGUGUAACGAAAUACGCACAAGUGUGUAGCUGUGUUUUCUAUCUUUCUUAUUUGUCAGAAAUAUAUAUUGCUUGGAAAAACCAAAACGUGUUGCUUCAUGUGACCCGCACGAAAAACCUACGUGGCUGCUCCAAAAAUCCAACAUAUAAAAAAAUUUAUGGUUUUUUGUCAUAAGUUGCUAGAUUUUUUAAAACAACAAAAGUUAAAGUGGAACGAUGGUAAGUAUAAUAAACCUGUUUUUUCUCAAAUUCAAGCAAGAAAGAUUUUAUUUGAAUUAGUAAUAUACUGUAUCUUAUUUAUUUUAACGCAUAAUUGUCUUUUUUUUUCAAGACAAACCAACACAGUCCAUUGAACUACAAAAUAAAUCAAUAAACACCAACAUAAAUUUGUGUGAAAUUUUUUUGCUUCCGUUACGAUUACGCCAAUCAUGUUGUAACCUGACCUUGAUCUAUAAAAGUCCGGACAAGAAAAUUGUGAAGCAAUUAUACAGUAAAAGUAUAAACAAUGCAGUUGAAAAGGCCAACAAAAAUUAUACCGACAGUAUGCGUAUGAUAAUGGAAAAUUUACAUUUUUCAAGAGUGUUAAAUGAUGAUUUUAUUAGUUCAAAGACAAGGGCAGUCAUACAAUUAGUUAAAGACAUAAUAGAAAAAGGAAAUGAUAAAUUAAUUAUCGUCUCCCAGUGGACGCAACAACUGCAUAUAAUUGCCUCACAUCUGCAUGUCCUCAAUAGACGGCGCCACGUACGGUCAAUUAACUGGAGAAAUUAAAUCCAAAUGUCGAGAAGUAUGGAUAUUAUGUAAUUUUAAUUGUAUUUUAUUAGAUUAAAAAAAUUAAUGCUUAUUUUUUUUCUAGGAUUCAAACAGAUUUAAUAAUACAACAAAUCCCAAGAUAUUAUUACUGUCUCUACUAGUUGGUGGAAUGGGAUUUAAUCUUACGGGUGUAAACCAUUUGAUAUUUGUGGAUGUAUCUUGGGAUCGACAAUAACUAGAAGAGGCAGUUGUGAAUAAAGUUUAUCAAAUGGAACAGAAAAAAAUGUGUAUAUUUAUAAGUAAGUAUAAUGCAUUUGAUUUCUGCACACGUAUAUUUCCUAUAAAGUUUAUUUUAAUAUAUUUACGUUUCCAUUUCAGAUUUUUAUGUCGUGACACUAUCGAAAUAAAAAUAAAUGAUUUACUGAAGAGGUUCGCGAUUUCAAAUCCCGCGCAUGACAUUGCGGAUAACCGUGGCAGUACCAGCGCUCGAACGGAGCGCCCUCCCGCGUUCUUUUAUAUAUACUCUUACAGUUCGUCAUCGCGUGUAAGCAUACCAUGAAUAAAAUCGCUGUUCAAAGAGA
Molecule: long non-coding RNA, 2434 nt
Organism: Wasmannia auropunctata (little fire ant)
Lineage: Eukaryota; Metazoa; Arthropoda; Insecta; Hymenoptera; Formicidae
Exons: 2
Source: RefSeq, a predicted model, not a curated record